This 465-nucleotide ribosomal RNA is filed under the name Vreelandella stevensii. Its description in RNAcentral is "partial 16S ribosomal RNA". It matches the Rfam family "Bacterial small subunit ribosomal RNA", at positions 338 to 795 of the family's 1533-position model. The record is from RNAcentral. Lineage: Bacteria; Pseudomonadati; Pseudomonadota; Gammaproteobacteria; Oceanospirillales; Halomonadaceae.
CCUACGUGUGGCUGCAGUGGGGAAUAUUGGACAAUGGGCGAAAGCCUGAUCCAGCCAUGCCGCGUGUGUGAAGAAGGCCUUCGGGUUGUAAAGCACUUUCAGUGGGGAAGAAAGCCUUGGGGCUAAUACCCUCGAGGAAGGACAUCACCCACAGAAGAAGCACCGGCUAACUCCGUGCCAGCAGCCGCGGUAACACGGAGGGUGCGAGCGUUAAUCGGAAUUACUGGGCGUAAAGCGCGCGUAGGCGGUCUGAUAAGCCGGUUGUGAAAGCCCCGGGCUCAACCUGGGAACGGCAUCCGGAACUGUCAGGCUAGAGUGCAGGAGAGGAAGGUAGAAUUCCCGGUGUAGCGGUGAAAUGCGUAGAGAUCGGGAGGAAUACCAGUGGCGAAGGCGGCCUUCUGGACUGACACUGACGCUGAGGUGCGAAAGCGUGGGUAGCAAACAGGAUUAGAUACCCGAGUAGUC